RNAcentral lists this ribosomal RNA (497 nucleotides) under uncultured bacterium. RNAcentral describes it as "partial 16S ribosomal RNA". It matches the Rfam family "Bacterial small subunit ribosomal RNA", at positions 28 to 507 of the family's 1533-position model. The record is from RNAcentral.
GAUGAACGCUGGCGGCGUGCCUAAUACAUGCAAGUCGAGCGAACAGACGAGGAGCUUGCUCCUCUGACGUUAGCGGCGGACGGGUGAGUAACACGUGGAUAACCUACCUAUAAGACUGGGAUAACUUCGGGAAACCGGAGCUAAUACCGGAUAAUAUAUUGAACCGCAUGGUUCAAUAGUGAAAGACGGUUUUGCUGUCACUUAUAGAUGGAUCCGCGCCGCAUUAGCUAGUUGGUAAGGUAACGGCUUACCAAGGCAACGAUGCGUAGCCGACCUGAGAGGAUGAUCGGCCACACUGGAACUGAGACACGGUCCAGACUCCUACGGGAGGCAGCAGUGGGGAAUCUUCCACAAUGGGCGAAAGCUUGACGGAGCAACGCCGCGUGAGUGAUGAAGGUCUUCGGAUCGUAAAACUCUGUUAUUAGGGAAGAACAAAUGUGUAAGUAACUAUGCACGUCUUGACGGUACCUAAUCAGAAAGCCACGGCUAACUACGUG